Molecule: long non-coding RNA, 915 nt
Organism: Mandrillus leucophaeus (drill)
Lineage: Eukaryota; Metazoa; Chordata; Mammalia; Primates; Cercopithecidae
Exons: 2
Source: RefSeq, a predicted model, not a curated record
AGCAACAGGGACUCAGAAGGGGGGGCUCUUCCCAGAACAUCCGGCAGGCGUGCUGUUCCAUGUGCCUCUUAACCCAGCUUCCCGCUCAGCAGCAGGCCUUGAGUGCACCUGGCAUACAAACGCCUGCCUGCCCACCCCGGGUGUGAAGACUGACGGGUCAAGGAGGUGUUGGUGAGACUGUUGUGUUCACCAUGUGGAGAUCAGGUGGUGAUUACCGCAUCUUCUUUGCUGACUUUGGUAACUGGGUGUCCAGUGGGGAGCGACCGGGAGUGGCCAAGCUGUUGCCUGGACUCAGCUUCUGACUCUGCAGCCAGGAGUCAGAUGCAGGCCCAAGGGUCCAGGGGAGUUGUUCAGCACCUGGAAUCACGCACUGCGCUGUGGGCCACGCGACGCUUCUGGCUUGUUCUCCCAGGCACAGACAGGCACUUGGAAGGCAGCUUUGCUCCUCUGGUCACCCGGAGACCUCCUAGCAGUGCAGAUGGGACAAACUGAGGGCCUGGGGGAACACCCACUCAUGCCCGGAAGGCCAGGCCCCGGCCUGCUCCGGUGAACGUCAGGAUAGUGGCUGCAGCAGGGAACCAGGGCUGGCCUUGGAUCUGUCCAGCAGAGUCACUGACCGGGCAGGCUUUGCUGCAUAGAGGAUGGCUGCAUUUUGUGCUCAGAGUUGGCUGAAAUGGCUGCGAAGUGUGGACAGUGACCACUGAAUCCCAAAAGUCACUGCACUUGAUCUGAUCCAAAUACCAGUGACUGCAGUUAGGGUAGAGAGCUUCUCCGAAGCAGGGGUCAUGGAGGCUUUUGUGUGGCUGAGGCUUCCCUUUUUCACAACAGUAAGAAGCUAUCAAUGGGAAAUUGUGGACUUUUCCCACCAGGGACUCAAUGUGCAAUAUUCAGUCAAUAUAAAACUCUUAAGAACUC